UAGGGAAUCUUCGGCAAUGGACGAAAGUCUGACCGAGCAACGCCGCGUGAGUGAAGAAGGUUUUCGGAUCGUAAAACUCUGUUGUUAGAGAAGAACAAGGACGUUAGUAACUGAACGUCCCCUGACGGUAUCUAACCAGAAAGCCACGGCUAACUACGUGCCAGCAGCCGCGGUAAUACGUAGGUGGCAAGCGUUGUCCGGAUUUAUUGGGCGUAAAGCGAGCGCAGGCGGUUUCUUAAGUCUGAUGUGAAAGCCCCCGGCUCAACCGGGGAGGGUCAUUGGAAACUGGGAGACUUGAGUGCAGAAGAGGAGAGUGGAAUUCCAUGUGUAGCGGUGAAAUGCGUAGAUAUAUGGAGGAACACCAGUGGCGAAGGCGGCUCUCUGGUCUGUAACUGACGCGGAGGCUCGAAAGCGUGGGGAGCAAACAGG
RNAcentral lists this ribosomal RNA (429 nucleotides) under Gemmatimonadota bacterium. RNAcentral describes it as "Gemmatimonadetes bacterium partial 16S ribosomal RNA". It matches the Rfam family "Bacterial small subunit ribosomal RNA", at positions 355 to 776 of the family's 1533-position model. Lineage: Bacteria; Pseudomonadati; Gemmatimonadota. The record is from RNAcentral.